This 465-nucleotide ribosomal RNA is filed under the name Vreelandella stevensii. RNAcentral describes it as "partial 16S ribosomal RNA". It matches the Rfam family "Bacterial small subunit ribosomal RNA", at positions 338 to 795 of the family's 1533-position model. Lineage: Bacteria; Pseudomonadati; Pseudomonadota; Gammaproteobacteria; Oceanospirillales; Halomonadaceae. The record is from RNAcentral.
CCUACGGGUGGCUGCAGUGGGGAAUAUUGGACAAUGGGCGAAAGCCUGAUCCAGCCAUGCCGCGUGUGUGAAGAAGGCCUUCGGGUUGUAAAGCACUUUCAGUGGGGAAGAAAGCCUUGGGGCUAAUACCCUCGAGGAAGGACAUCACCCACAGAAGAAGCACCGGCUAACUCCGUGCCAGCAGCCGCGGUAAUACGGAGGGUGCGAGCGUUAAUCGGAAUUACUGGGCGUAAAGCGCGCGUAGGCGGUCUGAUAAGCCGGUUGUGAAAGCCUCGGGCUCAACCUGGGAACGGCAUCCGGAACUGUCAGGCUAGAGUGCAGGAGAGGAAGGUAGAAUUCCCGGUGUAGCGGUGAAAUGCGUAGAGAUCGGGAGGAAUACCAGUGGCGAAGGCGGCCUUCUGGACUGACACUGACGCUGAGGUGCGAAAGCGUGGGUAGCAAACAGGAUUAGAUACCCUGGUAGUC